UCUGGAAUGUGGCAUGACCUUCUUUUCUACCCUGUUCUCCUAAAAUUGUCAUGGAUUUAUAGCAUGGUGCUGGGCUAGUGGGUAGGAAAGGGGCUGACAUCUAAGAGCCCUCUGUAUACUGGACACUGUGAGUGUUUUCAGGGAUGCCCCAGCUCAAGCUGCUGCUCCAAUAGCACAGUCCUACACUACAGGUUUUGAUCCAGGCCAAAAGGGGUAUGAUUGAUUCUGCAGUGCUCAGAUUCUGGAUGCAGUAUGAGGGGACAUCGUUCCUCUGCAGAUGUUACGGCUGCUGAAAUGAGGAAGAAGGAAAGGAAAGGAAGAAAAGAAGAAAGAAAGAAAAGUCAGGAACGUGUUGAGGUUGUAACGACAAGGAAAUAUUCAAGAGGAAGCCUUUCAGAACCUUCAUACACUUGGUGAGAAUGUAAAUUCGUACGACCACUAUGGAGAACACUUUGGAGCUUCUUCAAAAAACUAAAAAUAGAGCUACCAUAUGGGGCGAUCCAGCAAUUCCCCCACUGGGUAGAGACCUGAAAGAAAGGAAAUCAGUAGGACAAAGAGAUAGCUGCACUCCUGUGUUUGCUGCAGCACUGUUCACUAUAGCCAAGAUUUGGAAGCAACGUAAGUGUUUACCAAUAGAUGAAUGCAUAUAGAAAAUGUGGUACAAAUACACAAUGGAGUAUUAUUCAGCCAUAGAAAAGAAUGAGAUCCUGUCAUUUGCAACAACAUGGAUGGAGCUAGGGAUCAUUAAGCUAAGUGAAAUAAGCAAGGCAAAGAAAGACAAGCAUCACAUGUUCUCACUUAUUUGUGGGAUACAAAAAUCAAAACAAUUGAAUUCAUGAACAUAAAGAGUAGAAGGAUGGUUACCAGAGGCUUGGAAGAGUAGUAGGGGGUGAGGGUGAGGUGGGGAUGGUUAAUGUUAAUGGGUACAGAAAAAAAAUAGAAUGAAUAAGACUUACUAUGUGAUAGCACGACAGGUUGACUAUAGUAAUAACUUAAUUGCACAUUUUAAAAUAACUAAAAGAAUAUAAUUGGAUUUUUUGCAACACAAAGGACAAAUGCUUGAGGGGGUGUAAUUCUCAUUCUCCAUAUGUAAUUAUUACACAUUGCAUGCCUGCAUCAAAGCAUUUCACUUACCCAGUAAAUAUAUACAUCUACU
This 1156-nucleotide long non-coding RNA is filed under the name Pan troglodytes (chimpanzee). Its description in RNAcentral is "long non-coding RNA NONPTRT016615". Lineage: Eukaryota; Metazoa; Chordata; Mammalia; Primates; Hominidae. The record is from RNAcentral.